GAGGGUAUAGCUCAAGUGGCAGAGCGCAAGCUUAGUAUGCAUGAGGUCCUGGGUUCAAUCCCCAGUACCUCCA
Camelus ferus (Wild Bactrian camel) is the source of this 73-nucleotide transfer RNA. It matches the Rfam family "tRNA". From Rfam's summary of the family: Transfer RNA (tRNA) molecules are approximately 80 nucleotides in length. Their secondary structure includes four short double-helical elements and three loops (D, anti-codon, and T loops). Lineage: Eukaryota; Metazoa; Chordata; Mammalia; Artiodactyla; Camelidae. The record is from Rfam.